Molecule: ribosomal RNA, 316 nt
Filed under: Blastocystis sp.
Lineage: Eukaryota; Bigyra; Opalinata; Blastocystidae
Description: SSU rRNA
Rfam family: Eukaryotic small subunit ribosomal RNA
Source: RNAcentral
CUACGCUCGUCUCAAAGAUUAAGCCAUGCAUGUGUAAGUAUAAAUAAUUUUACUUUGAAACCUGCGAAUGGCUCAUUAUAUCAGUUAUAGUUUAUUAGAAAUACUUUACUACUUGGAUAACCGUAGUAAUUCUAGGGCUAAUACAUGAAUAAAUCCUCAACUUCGGAAGAGGUGUGUUUAUUAGUAUGAAAACCAUAUAUCUUCGGAUAUAAUAGUGAGUAAUAAUAACCUUUCAUAUCGUAUGUCGUAAGAUAACGAUAGUUCUUUCAAGUUUCUGCCCUAUCAGCUUUCGAUGGUAGUAUAUGGGACUACCAUG